This 491-nucleotide ribosomal RNA is filed under the name uncultured bacterium. RNAcentral describes it as "bacterial SSU rRNA". It matches the Rfam family "Bacterial small subunit ribosomal RNA", at positions 28 to 507 of the family's 1533-position model. The record is from RNAcentral.
GAUGAACGCUAGCUACAGGCUUAACACAUGCAAGUCGAGGGGCAGCAUUUUAGUUGCUUGACAAACUGAAGAUGGCGACCGGCGCACGGGUGAGUAACACGUAUCCAACCUGCCGAUAACUCCGGAAUAGCCUUUCGAAAGAAAGAUUAAUACCGGAUAGUAUACGAAUAUCGCAUGAUAUUUUUAUUAAAGAAUUUCGGUUAUCGAUGGGGAUGCGUUCCAUUAGUUUGUUGGCGGGGUAACGGCCCACCAAGACUACGAUGGAUAGGGGUUCUGAGAGGAAGGUCCCCCACAUUGGAACUGAGACACGGUCCAAACUCCUACGGGAGGCAGCAGUGAGGAAUAUUGGUCAAUGGGCGAGAGCCUGAACCGGCCAAGUAGCGUGAAGGAUGAAGGCUCUAUGGGUCGUAAACUUCUUUUAUAUGGGAAUAAAGUUUUCCACGUGUGGAAUUUUGUAUGUACCAUAUGAAUAAGGAUCGGCUAACUCCGUG